RNAcentral lists this ribosomal RNA (253 nucleotides) under uncultured bacterium. Its description in RNAcentral is "partial 16S ribosomal RNA". It matches the Rfam family "Bacterial small subunit ribosomal RNA", at positions 524 to 776 of the family's 1533-position model. The record is from RNAcentral.
UACGGAGGGAGCUAGCGUUGUUCGGAAUUACUGGGCGUAAAGGGCUCGUAGGCGGCCAACUAAGUCAGACGUGAAAUCCCCAGGCUUAACCUGGGAACUGCGUCUGAUACUGGAUGGCUUGAAUUCGGGAGAGGGAUGCAGAAUUCCAGGUGUAGCGGUGAAAUGCGUAGAUAUCUGGAGGAAUACCGGUGGCGAAGGCGGCAUCCUGGACCGACAUUGACGCUGAGGAGCGAAAGCUAGGGGAGCAAACGGG